RNAcentral lists this ribosomal RNA (484 nucleotides) under uncultured bacterium. Its description in RNAcentral is "partial 16S ribosomal RNA". It matches the Rfam family "Bacterial small subunit ribosomal RNA", at positions 30 to 507 of the family's 1533-position model. The record is from RNAcentral.
AUUGAACGCUGGCGGCAGGCCUAACACAUGCAAGUCGAGCGGAUGAAGGGAGCUUGCUCCUGGAUUCAGCGGCGGACGGGUGAGUAAUGCCUAGGAAUCUGCCUGGUAGUGGGGGAUAACGUCCGGAAACGGGCGCUAAUACCGCAUACGUCCCGAGGGAGAAAGUGGGGGAUCUUCGGACCUCACGCUAUCAGAUGAGCCUAGGUCGGAUUAGCUAGUUGGUGGGGUAAAGGCCUACCAAGGCGACGAUCCGUAACUGGUCUGAGAGGAUGAUCAGUCACACUGGAACUGAGACACGGUCCAGACUCCUACGGGAGGCAGCAGUGGGGAAUAUUGGACGAAGGGCGAAAGCCUGAUCCAGCCAUGCCGCGUGUGUGAAGAAGGUCUUCGGAUUGUAAAGCACUUUAAGUUGGGAGGAAGGGCAGUAAGUUAAUACCUUGCUGUUUUGACGUUACCAACAGAAUAAGCACCGGCUAACUUCGUG